CAAUGUGUUACAGUUGUAUUAUUCACGUCUGGGGGGCGUGAGGUCGCUGGUUCGAGUCCAGUCAUCCCGAC
RNAcentral lists this transfer RNA (71 nucleotides) under Caudoviricetes sp. RNAcentral's name for it is "tRNA-Pro". The record is from RNAcentral. Lineage: Duplodnaviria; Heunggongvirae; Uroviricota; Caudoviricetes.